Molecule: non-coding RNA, 185 nt
Organism: Chiloscyllium plagiosum (whitespotted bambooshark)
Lineage: Eukaryota; Metazoa; Chordata; Chondrichthyes; Orectolobiformes; Hemiscylliidae
Source: RefSeq, a predicted model, not a curated record
UUCACUGUUGUCUUGGAUUUUACAUUGUGCUAACAGUUCACAUUCAUCAACUUUAGAGAUUGUACAGUCGAAUGUACUUGAGCCAUUGGUGUGUAGGAGUAAUACCCUGCAUUGAAGCUCACCUGUUCCGAUGUCAAUGACCAGGCUGUUGUGUACCACCAGAACCUUACUGCCAUGUGGACAUA